AUCCGAUAAUUUGAUAUCAUUUUGUUGCCGAUGAUGUUACUUGAAAUUUUAUUCAUUAAAACGCAGGUGACCGGAAAACAAUAAUCUGUCAGAAACGUAUCUCAGAAUAACCUAGCUGGUCUUGUUCCUACAAGCAACAACUUUUCAAGGUUUCCACCUGAAAGUUUCAUAGGAAAUCCUGGUCUUUGCGGCCAUUGGCUCAACUCUCCUUGCCAUGAUUCCCAUCCAGCGGAGCGAGGUAUACACACAGAGACGGAGGCAUGUUAAAGGCUUGCUGUGCUAUAGCCUCACUCAAUUUCUAAAGCAGCAAUACUGGGGAUUGCACUUGGAGCCCUUGUGAUUCUUCUCAUGAUCUUAGCAGCAGCUUGUCGGCCACAUAAUCCAUUACCUUUUUCAGAUGUGUCGCUUGACAAACCAGGCAUUCUCUCUUUAUUUUAUCAUAGUAUGCAAACCAUGUUUGAUGAUUUUUAACUAUGGCGGAGUUUCGUCAAUCUGAACUCUGCUAAAAGUCCCACUAGAGGAAAAAAUUAGUGUUCCUCAAGUUUAAACCGAAAUAUCUGAGCAAGUUCAAUAUCUUACUUUUGGAGGUAAUUUUGAGGGGUGAAGAAAACUAAACAUAAAUUAGAGAAGUAAAAAAAUCGAUAAAAAGCAAUUACAUACUAUUCAAUUUGUUUAUUUGCCUUCAUAAAGUUCGAUCUCCCUGCACUUGAAAAUUAUGCUUGGCUGCUAACUUGUGUUUGUUGAACAAACAGUUAAUUACUCAAAGCCAAAGUUGGUGAUCCUUCACAUGAAUAUGGCUCUCCAUGUGUAUAAGGAUAUUAUGAAGAUGAUUGAGAAUUUGAGUGAGAAGUACAUAGUUGGUCAUGGUGCCUCAAGCACUGUUUACAAAUUUUUCCUAUUAAGAGGCUCUAUUCUCAUUUUCUUCAGUGCUUGAAGGAAUUCAAGACAGAUCUUGAGACAGUACGGAGCAUCAAGCAUCAAAAUCUAAUCAGCCUUCACUGAUACUCCCUGUCAUCUUAUGGGGACCUUCUUUUCUAUGAUUAUAUGGAAAAUGGAAGUCUCUGGGAUCCUCAUCAUCAUGGUCCGACAAAGAAGAAAAAGGCUGACUGGUAUACGCGCCUUCGGAUAGCACUUGGAGCAGCUCAAGGGCUAGCAUAUUUACAUCAUGAUUGUAGUCCUCGCAUAAUUCACAGGGAUGUUAAGUCAUCAAACAUUCUAUUAGACGAAGAUUUCGAGGCCCAUCUCACUGAUUUGGGGAUUCCCAAGCGUUUAUGUGUGUCCAAAUCCUAUACUUCUACGUUCUACCUCCAUAACGGGAACGAUUGGUUAUAUAGACCCUGAGUAUGCCCGCAUUUCCCAUCUUACAGAGAAGUCUGAUGUGUCAGCUACGGGAUUGUUCUACUUGAAGUGCCAACUUGGAGGAAAGCAGUUGACAACGAAUACAAUCUUCAUCAUCUUGUGUGUCUUCUAUCCAUCCUUGAUACUGUCCAAGACAGCUAACAAUGCUGCCAUGGAAACUGUUGAUCCUGAGAUUUCACCUGUAAAGAUCUUGGAGCGGUAAAGAAGGUUUUUCAACUUGCCCUCCUAUGCACCAAGAGACGGCCAGUAGACCGCCCGACCAUGAAUGAAGUGGGACGUGUUCUAGGGAGCCUUGUCCCACAUGACCCCCACCAAAACAAAGCACCGCAGCUCCACCUGCCCUACUCCCAUCUAACAAAGUGCCCUGCUACAUGGAUGAGCAUGCAAACAUCAAGAAUGCACACAUUUUACAUUGUCCCUCCAUGAGCACUUCAGAUGCCGAGCUAUUCCUGAAGUUUGGUGAGGUAACAUCCUAAAACAGUCAAUGAAAGAGAGUGUGAAAAUAUGAACCCAAACCAGUAUUGAAUUUGAGGCUUUUCGUCCUUUUGUUGGGGGUGUUAGUAGAUGAUCAGUUAGUGGCAAUUGUGUACAAAGCUUUGGAAUCCAAUUAUUGUACUUGCUACUUUAUUAGGAAUUUUGAAGUGUUGCAGUUGCAAGCUCUUA
Molecule: long non-coding RNA, 2022 nt
Organism: Populus euphratica (Euphrates poplar)
Lineage: Eukaryota; Viridiplantae; Streptophyta; Magnoliopsida; Malpighiales; Salicaceae
Exons: 6
Source: RefSeq, a predicted model, not a curated record